Molecule: transfer RNA, 97 nt
Filed under: Paenibacillus radicis (ex Gao et al. 2016)
Lineage: Bacteria; Bacillati; Bacillota; Bacilli; Caryophanales; Paenibacillaceae
Description: tRNA-Gly
Source: RNAcentral
AGAGCUAUAGAGAGCGGAAAAUGCGAUUCUCCUUUCCAUGGAGGAAUUUCGGGUACGAAAAAGAAGACCACAAAGGGUCUUCUUCGUUAUAGCUCUA